AAUACGGAGGAUCCAAGCGUUAUCCGGAUUUAUUGGGUUUAAAGGGUGCGUAGGCGGCCUGUUAAGUCAGGGGUGAAAGACGGUGGCUCAACCAUCGCAGUGCCCUUGAUACUGAUGGGCUUGAUUACAGUUGAGGUAGGCGGAAUGUGACAAGUAGCGGUGAAAUGCAUAGAUAUGUCACAGAACACCGAUUGCGAAGGCAGCUUACUAAAGUGUAAAUGACGCUGAGGCACGAAAGUGUGGGGAUCAAACA
Molecule: ribosomal RNA, 253 nt
Filed under: uncultured prokaryote
Description: partial 16S ribosomal RNA
Rfam family: Bacterial small subunit ribosomal RNA
Source: RNAcentral